UAAAAACCCCGACUUCGGAAGGGGUGUAUUUAUUAGAUACAAAACCAAUGCCCUUCGGGGCUCUUUGGUGAUUCAUGAUAACUAUACGAAUCGCACGGCCUUGCGCCGGCGAUGGUUCAUUCAAAUUUCUUCCCUAUCAACUUUCGAUGUUUGGGUAUUGGCCAAACAUGGUUGCAACGGGUAACGGAGGGUUAGGGCUCGACCCCGGAGAAGGAGCCUGAGAAACGGCUACUACAUCCAAGGAAGGCAGCAGGCGCGCAAAUUACCCAAUCCCGACUCGGGGAGGUAGUGACAAUAAAUACAGAUACAGGGCCCUUUCGGGCCUUGUAAUUGGAAUGAGUACAAUUUAAAUCCCUUAACGAGGAACAAUUGGAGGGCAAGUCUGGUGCCAGCAGCCGCGGUAAUUCCAGCUCCAAUAGCGUAUAUUAAAGUUGUUGUGGUUAAAAAGCUCGUAGUUGAACCUUGGGCCUGGCUGGCCGGUCCGCCUCACCGCGUGCACUGGUCCGGCCGGGCCUUUCCCUCUGUGGAACCCCAUACCCUUCACUGGGCGUGGCGGGGAAACAGGACAUUUACUUU
This 576-nucleotide ribosomal RNA is filed under the name uncultured eukaryote. Its description in RNAcentral is "SSU rRNA". It matches the Rfam family "Eukaryotic small subunit ribosomal RNA", at positions 174 to 758 of the family's 1831-position model. The record is from RNAcentral.